Molecule: microRNA precursor, 97 nt
Filed under: Equus caballus (horse)
Lineage: Eukaryota; Metazoa; Chordata; Mammalia; Perissodactyla; Equidae
Description: mir-544 microRNA precursor family
Rfam family: mir-544 microRNA precursor family
Source: Rfam by way of RNAcentral
AUCACCCAGGAAUCUUGUUAAUACACAGAUUCUGACUUAGUAGGUGUGGGUUGGGCCUGGGAUUCUGCAUUUCUAAUAAGCUCCCAGGUGAUACAAA